AUGGGUCAGCGACUUACAUUCAGUGGCAAGGUUAACCGAAUAGGGAAGCCGUAGAGAAAUCGAGUCCGAAUAGGGCGACAAGUCGCUGGGUGUAGACCCGAAACCAAGUGAUCUAUCCAUGGCCAGGAUGAAGGUGCGGUAACACGCACUGGAGGUCCGAACCGACUAAUGUUGCAAAAUUAGCGGAUGAGGUGUGGUUAGCGGUGAAAUGCCAAUCGAAAGUGGAGCUAGCUGGUUCUCCCCGAAACGUAUUUAGGUGCGGCGGUUAUUUUUUAUUAACAUAGGGGUAAAGCACUGUUUCGGUGCGGGCUGGUAAUUCGGUACCAAAUCGAGGCAAACUCUGAAUGCUAUAUUAAUUAGGUAGCCAGUAAGACUAUGAGGGAUAAGCUCCAUAGUCAAGAGGGAAACAGCCCAGAUCAUCAGCUAAGGCCCCAAAAUAAUUACUAAGUGACAAAGGUUGUGAAAAGGCUUAAACAACCAGGAGGUUUGCUUAGAAGCAGCAAUCCUUUAAAAAGUGCGUAAUAGCUUACUGGUCUAGCACUUUUGCGCCGAAAAUUUACGGGACUAAGUAAUUUGCCGAAGCUGUGAAACAUUUAAAAAUGUUGGUAGGGGAGCGUUCCAUUAUAGAAUGAAGUAUUAGCGAAAGCAAAUAUGGACAAAAUGGAAGUGAGAAUGCCGGAUUGAGUAGCGAAAACAUUGGUGAGAAUCCAAUGCCCCGAAAUCCUAAGGAUUCCUUCGGAAGGUUCGUCCACGAAGGGUUAGUCAGGACCUAAGACGAGGCCGAAAAGCGUAGUCGAUGGAUAAUAGGUUAAUAUUCCUAUACUAAAUAUUUAAUAAGUAAGGCCUUUAAGGGACGAAGAAGGCUACAUUAGCCGGAAAUUGGUCACCGGUUUAAGCAUCUAGGUUUUAAAAAACUAAAGUGUGAAUACAAGAUAGUAAAAUAUCAAAGUAAUCGAUGCCAUACUUCCAAGAAAAGCUUAAAGGCCGUUUAAUUAUUUACCUGUACCAGAAACCGACACAGGUGGGAAGGUAGAGUAUACCAAGGGGCGCGAGAGAACCCUUCUUAAGGAACUCGGCAAAAUAGCUCUGUAACUUCGGGAGAAAGAGUGCCUAUUUAGGCUUCAAUAUCAAGUUCCAAGCAACUGUUUAACAAAAACACAGGUCUCCGCUAAGUUGAAAAACGAUGUAUGGGGGCUGACGCCUGCCCAGUGCCGAAAAGUUAAUGGAAGUAGUUAGAUAUAUGUCAAUAUAUAUCAAAGCUAAUGACUGAAGCUUCGGUGAACGGCGGCCGUAACUAUAACGGUCCUAAGGUAGCGAAAUUCCUUGUCGGGUAAGUUCCGACCCGCACGAAUGGCGUAACGAUGGCCACACUGUCUCCUCCUGAGACUCAGCGAAGUUGAAAUGUUUGUGAAGAUGCAAUC
Molecule: ribosomal RNA, 1421 nt
Filed under: wastewater metagenome
Description: bacterial LSU rRNA
Rfam family: Bacterial large subunit ribosomal RNA
Source: RNAcentral